This is a long non-coding RNA of Oncorhynchus tshawytscha (Chinook salmon), 419 nucleotides long. The record is from Ensembl. NCBI's taxonomy places the organism in Eukaryota, Metazoa, Chordata, Actinopteri, Salmoniformes, Salmonidae.
GAACAGUGGGUUAACUGGUCUAGGAACAGAGGGUUAACUGGUCUAGGAACAGUGGGUUAACUGGUCUAGGAACAGUGGGUUAACUGGUCUAGGAACAGUGGGUUAACUGGUCUAGGAACAGAGGGUUAACUGGUCUAGGAACAGAGGGUUAACUGGUCUAGGGACAGUGGGUUAACUGGUCUAGGGACAGUGGGUUAACUGGUCUAGGAACAGUGGGUUAACUGGUCUAGGGACAGUGGGUUAACUGGUCUAGGGACAGUGGGUUAACUGGUCUAGGAACAGUGGGUUAACUGGUCUAGGAACGGUGGGUUAACUGGUCUAGGAACGGUGGGUUAACUGGUCUAGGAACGGUGGGUUAACUGGUCUAGGAACGGUGGGUUAACUGGUCUAGGAACGGUGGGUUAACUGGUCUAGGAACA